CCCACUCAUUCUCUUUUUCUCUCUCAGCACCUUAAUCCUAGCCGCCCUAAGCUCCCUCAGAACCCUAGCCGCUACAGCAUGAUCACCACCAGCAACGACCCCAACCCCUUCCAAAUUGACACCCUAUACUCCCCAUCCUCCCCUCUCCUCAAACCCCAUAACCAUUUCCUUAAAAUCCCCAUCUAUUUUCUCUAAUUGCAUAUAUGAAAUUUUGAAUAAAAAAACUUAAAACCUUCCUUUUCCUGAUUACUCCUUGACCCCGACCCGUUUGAACUCAAAACCUACAUCAAUCGAUUGCUCUUGCUGAGAGCAAUCGAGUGAUGUUAGUCUCAGUUCAUCCUACGGCCAUCGUAGUUUGUUCGGUCUAUCAGAGUUUGGUCGGAGUUUUAUCGUUUCUCCUUCGAGGGCCAGUAGGUAAUUAUUCUGCUUUUCUUCUUCUUUUUUCGUGUUUAUCUUUCAGCCAAACAACCUUUCUAUUCCUUCUCGAAUUCCUCUUCAGAUUGUUUUCCCUAUUGAUUAAGAGGCUUAAUUAUUUAUUAAGUUAGUAUAAACAUAUAACAAUUAGUUUAAUCGAUUUCAGUUUAGCUCGGACAAAUGGGUUAGUUUACUUGUUAAAUUAGGCGUUGGUCUUGUUUUGUUUCUGAUUUUGCAUGAUUUACUUGCCAUUUAAUUGCAUGAUUCUUUUGUUUUUUUAAGUUUAAUUGCAUGUUUGGAUUAAUUUAUUCAACCUUAAUUAGUUUAGUAAUCUAGUUUGGGUGUGUUAGUCGAUUGUUUCUGCUUCAUUAUGAUCUGUGAUAGCUUGAUUGCCAAUUGGAAUUAAAAAGGGUCGGAAAUGGUAAUUUUGAAAGUCUUAAAAGGGUAAUUGGAAAACCAAAAUAAGGGACUCUAAUGUUAAAAUUCCCUAGUUGAUUCUAGAAGGUUCUAGAAGGGUUUAAUGGGUAGUUAAAGAUCAUAAUUUAGGGUAUAUUAAAAUAAUCAGUACUUGAAAGGUUAAAAUUGGAUUGAUAAAUGAGGAAAAUAUCAGAAUGUUCUAGUAUGGGACAACUGUCCCAAUUUCUAGUAUGAAAAAUACUAGAAUUGGGCUAAAAAAGGACAGACAACUGUCCAAAUAUGCUGUACUAUCUGACACUUAGGGAAUUUAGGGUAGAAUAUGCAUUUUUUAUGUUGUUUUAGCAUACCCUAUAAAAGGAACAGUUAUUCUCUCAUUCUAGACAGAUGAUCAUUAGCAAUUGAGACCCUGAAAAGACCUCUGAAAAAAUCCAGCUCCAUUGUUCUUCUACUUCUCUGUUUUUUCAUUAAAGUUUGGAACAAUUUUCCUUCGGAUUUUUGAUUGUUCAAGCUAAAAAAUGACUUGAUUCUGAAGCCUUGUUGCUUGAUAUUGCUGUUGUUUUACUGUGAUUUCCUGCUGGUCUUUUGUUGUUCUUAGAGAUUCACUGCUUUGUUUUUGCUCUUUGUCACCAGGUAUCUCUUGGACUUUGAGUGACCAUUGAAAUGCAAGCAUGCUCUUUUUCUUUGAAAGAUGUAUUUGUAAUAUGAAGUUAAUGUUCAAACGUUGAAUCUCAAUUUUCUUUUUACAUGUAGUUCUUUCAAGUUAUUUAGCUUUAUAGUUUUCUCAACGUUUUUGUAUAAGUGUCUUGGGUCUGCUUGAUAGUCAGUAGCUUGGUGGAGAAUUCCAGUAUUGAAUAUUCUGAAUAGUUCAUCUUUCAUAUGUUGGAUUUAUUUGGAAGUUUCAGGAUAAGUAUGUAAUAUCAUUAGCUCAUUUUUAUUAAAAGGUGU
This 1776-nucleotide long non-coding RNA is filed under the name Nicotiana tabacum (common tobacco). Its description in RNAcentral is "long non-coding RNA (NTAB_LNC014714)". The record is from RNAcentral. Lineage: Eukaryota; Viridiplantae; Streptophyta; Magnoliopsida; Solanales; Solanaceae.